UACGGAAGGUCCGGGCGUUAUCCGGAUUUAUUGGGUUUAAAGGGAGCGUAGGCCGGAGAUUAAGCGUGUUGUGAAAUGUAGACGCUCAACGUCUGCACUGCAGCGCGAACUGGUUUCCUUGAGUACGCAUAAAGUGGGCGGAAUUCGUGGUGUAGCGGUGAAAUGCUUAGAUAUCACGAAGAACUCCGAUUGCGAAGGCAGCUCACUGGGGCGCAACUGACGCUGAAGCUCGAAAGCGCGGGUAUCGAACAGG
This 253-nucleotide ribosomal RNA is filed under the name Segatella copri DSM 18205. RNAcentral's name for it is "Prevotella copri DSM 18205 partial 16S ribosomal RNA". It matches the Rfam family "Bacterial small subunit ribosomal RNA", at positions 524 to 776 of the family's 1533-position model. The record is from RNAcentral. Lineage: Bacteria; Pseudomonadati; Bacteroidota; Bacteroidia; Bacteroidales; Prevotellaceae.